Molecule: long non-coding RNA, 3775 nt
Filed under: Arabidopsis lyrata
Lineage: Eukaryota; Viridiplantae; Streptophyta; Magnoliopsida; Brassicales; Brassicaceae
Description: long non-coding RNA (ALYR_LNC000739)
Source: RNAcentral
UUGCAAGUGUAGCUACGGCAUUUGGAGAAUCUACUAUACCAGAUAUUCUUCCUUCGCAUGGACAGCAUGAGAGUAAGAGGUAUACCUGUUCACACCAUAGUUUCUUGAUCAAAUUUAUCUCUAGUUUUAAUGCUUGUGAUCAAUUAGGUUCUGUGAGAAACAUCUUGUUGCGGAGAUCAGUACCUGUUCUUUUGAGUAACCGAAUUUGAAGAGAUAGUCUAUGGCAUUGAGAACUGCUCGUUUGUAAGCAACUGUUGCAUCUAGGUACUGUUGUCUUCCUCUCUCAUCGACACUGAUACCUUCGAAGACCAGCCACUCUGAGAAUCUCGGUUCCACUGGCCCUAUCUCAAAGAUCGGGUUUACGUGGAGAGGGGUAGGUCCCAUUGGUGUAAGGUACUCCUGCAUCCCGUUUCUAAUGAUUUCACACCUAUUAAUGAGUCACAUAGUGGUAUCUGGUCAGAAUUUCAUAGUAACACUGCACAAAAACAAGGACAUCUAAGAAAAUCUUGUAGAGUAUAAUCACUAGAAAAACUGCAAUUGGGAACUUAUUUUCAUACUUGAGUUCUAGAAAUCCACUCAUCUCGAUGGCUCCACAGAAUGAGAUCUCACCAUCACCUUGCGAGAAAUGCAUGUCACCGGUGCUUAGAUUAGCCCCUUCUACAAACACUGGAAGAUAUAUUUUAGAGCCUCUGCUUAGGUUUUUUAUGUCACAGUUCCCUCCGUUUUCUCUUCCUGGUAUUGUCCUUGCAGCUUCCUUUGAAACCCUUUCCCAUUCUGGUGUUCCUUCUUCAAUCUACAACAUUAGGUAAGAAUCCUUUAGAGUUCAGGGGUAACUACCAUUUUAUACAGUUCAAAAACUUUGUUAUGGCAUCAGCAAAUAUCGUUUUGGUAUAGCUUACAUUCCCUAGGAGGCAUCCUUUACUUGUCGGUAGGUUAGCCAGUGGCCGCUGAUGCACGACCUCACAUAAAGUUAGGGACUCAAGACCACAUUCUUCUAAUUGUCUUUCCCUUUCAUUCCAUAUUCUUAGGAGUUCUUUUGAUGGUGCAGUGCCAAUGAUUCCUGGGUGUGUCAAACCCGGGAAUCGUACUCCUGCCGAGCCAUAGUGUGAUGAUAUUAACAUGAGAAUAAUCAAUAGAACACCUCAUAAUAGGGAAAACUACAUGGUUAUGCUAGUCAUUUCUUGAAAAAAGACAUGGACAUGUUGUGUUCUUACCAGGAAUUUGAGGAGAGUAGGCAUAAAUCCCUUCAAAGUACCAAAUAGCUUUAGUCGCACAAGGGAAAUGGUCAGUCAAGAAACCGCCGCCAUUCUCUCUAUCAAACGAACCAGUGAAUCCCCAUUCAUCUCCUGGAAGAGGACCUAAGUUGCAUAUCUCAACAGCAAGAAGAUCACCUGGCUUAGCUGCAACACCAUCCUCAUCCACAACUUUGAUCGGCCCACUCAGGUAAUGAACCUGCAUAAUCACCAAGAAACUCUUACCUAUGUGCAAGCCAUCAUGAUUGGUUUACUCAUGUUUCUCACUAAACCUCCUUACAGUAGAGAGGUCUAUGCUCUUAAUAUCGCCAGCAGAGCCAUCGUCUUUGACUGCACCCCCCGUCCAGUCAACCAUUUCCACCCUAAACAACUCACCAGCCUUGACCUCUGCAACUGAUGGUAUCUCAGGAUGCCAUCUAUUGUGCAGUGGCUGAGCCUGCUGCCACGGCCUCUUCUUCAAAUCCACCUUCACCACCACUCGUGGACUUGCUGGAGCCAUCAAACCGAACCAAUAAGUACGGUAUAUUCUCUCUCUACUCACACUUUCUAUGUUUAUAUAUAUAUUUCACUCUUGGAAUCAUUGGUCUUGCAGAUUCCUUAUCCACAACUAAAGGACAGUAAAAGAUCCCAUCUUUCACCAUCUCGUAGACUUUUCUAUAUCUAGACAAAUGACUUUCAUUCAUCUUAGUAUCUUACAAAGUGGAUAAUGCCGUAAGACACGUAUGUCUCUUUGUCUGUGUGUGGCCAUGCAUAUAGAUGACAAGAAGUUGAAAAUGACAUUUUCUUGACUUAUGUUCUGAAUAGGGUCUCUAUGUUUGGAGAGAGGAGGAGCUCACGAAGGAGGAAUUUUACAUUCGACUUAUUAAUUGCGCAGUUUUGCAAUUCAAUGAAAGCUAUUUUCAGACAGAAUCUGAUGCAUCACCCUAAAGAGUGCAUAUAAAGAUUUACAGAAUCUGAUGCAUCACCCUAAAGAGUGCAUAUAAAGAUUUAGGACGCAUUUCAUUACCUUCCAAUUUUUAGAGUUUCUUGAUGUGGAAUUUCCAACAAAGAAAAAGAAACCAUUUCUCUCUUUAUUUCAAAACAUGUCUGAUUAGUAAAUUAUACUGUCUAGAUAGUUGCUUCUCUACAUAAAUGAUUUCUAGUAGCUUGUCGAAGAACUUGGAUUCUUUGUAAUUGGAAGCUUUCCAUCAUAUGUGCUCUUCAGUACAUCUGGUUUCCUCACUAUCCGAGGUCCUACUGGAACCUUCCGAGUCUUUGGCCGAAUAUCCUGCAUUAACGUACAUACAAAAGCAAUUAACAUCUUUGUCUUCCUAUUUUUCAGUUGUUAACAAAUUAUUGAGUGACGAGGGUGAAGAACAGAGUAAACUUAAGAGGUUUCUACAGAAGCUUUUUUGUACUUAACCAAAGAACAGAGGAGCACAAAUUCAUACCUGAUCAAAGAUGGCUGUAGGUAUUGCUAGUGUAGCAACGGCAUUUGGAGAAUCAACUAUCCCAGAUAGUCUUCCUUCACAUGGACAACAUGAGAGCAAGAGGUACACCUGUUCACAUCAUAUUCUCUUGAUCACUUCUGUCUUUCUAGUUUUAAUUUAUGGAUAUUUGGUUUAUGAUCAACUAGAUUCUGGAAGAAACAUCAAGCUACAAAGACAAGUACCUGUUCUUUUGAGUAACCAAAUUUGAAGAGAUAGUCUAUGGCGUUGAGAACUGCCCGUUUGUAAGCAACUGUUGCAUCCAGGUAAUGUUGUCUCCCGCUCUCAUCGACACUGAUACCUUCGAAGACAAGCCAUUCUGAGAAUCUCGGUUCAACUGGCCCUAUCUCAAAGAUUGGGUUUACAUGGAGCGGGGUCGGUCCCAUUGGCGUAAGGUAUUCUUGCAUCCCAUUCCUUAUGAUUUCACACCUAUUAAGGAGUUACAUAAUGGUAUCUGGUCAGAAUUGUUUAAUACGCUGCACACAAACAAAAACAUCUGAGAAUGCAUAGUAGAGUAACUUAUUUACAUACUUGAGUUCUAGAAAUCCACUCAUCUCGAUGGCCCCACAGAAUGAGAUCUCACCAUCACCUUGCGAGAAAUGCAUGUCUCCUGUGCUUAGAUUAGCCCCUUCUACAAACACUGGAAGAUAUAUUUUAGAGCCUCUGCUUAGGUUUUUAAUGUCACAGUUUCCUCCGUUUUCUCUUCCUGGUAUCGUCCUCGCAGCCUCGUUUGCAAUCCUUUCCCAUUCCGGUGUUCCUUCUUCAAUCUACAAGAGGAUUAUGUUAGAAACCCUGGGAAGUCAAGAGUUAAGCACCAUUUUAUACUCAUCAACGCUUACGUUCCCUAGGAGGCAUCCUUUAGCUGUUGGUAGGUUUGCCAAUGGCCGUUGAUGCACAACCUCACAUAGUGUUGGGGACUUGAGACCACUUUCUUCUAAUUGUCUUUCCCUUUCAUUCCAUAUUCUCAGGAGUUCCAUCGAUGGCGCGGUGCCAAUGACUCCUGGGUGUGUCAAACCCGGAAAUCGUACUCCUGCCGUGAUGUGAUGAUAUUAGCAU